Molecule: ribosomal RNA, 468 nt
Filed under: uncultured bacterium
Lineage: Bacteria
Description: partial 16S ribosomal RNA
Rfam family: Bacterial small subunit ribosomal RNA
Source: RNAcentral
GACGAACGCUGGCGGCGUGCUUAACACAUGCAAGUCGAACGGAAAGGCCCUGCUUUUGUGGGGUGCUCGAGUGGCGAACGGGUGAGUAACACGUGAGUAACCUGCCCUUGACUUUGGGAUAACUUCAGGAAACUGGGGCUAAUACCGGAUAGGAGCUCCUGCUGCAGGGGGGGGGUGGGAAGGUUUCGGCGGUUGGGGAUGGACUCGCGGCUUAUCAGCUUGUUGGUGGGGUAGUGGCUUACCAAGGCUUUGACGGGUAGCCGGCCUGAGAGGGUGACCGGCCACAUUGGGACUGAGAUACGGCCCAGACUCCUACGGGAGGCAGCAGUGGGGAAUAUUGCACAAUGGGCGGAAGCCUGAUGCAGCAACGCCGCGUGCGGGAUGACGGCCUUCGGGUUGUAAACCGCUUUCGCCUGUGACGAAGCGUGAGUGACGGUAAUGGGUAAAGAAGCACCGGCUAACUACGUG